RNAcentral lists this long non-coding RNA (340 nucleotides) under Populus trichocarpa (black cottonwood). Its description in RNAcentral is "long non-coding RNA (PTRI_LNC002424)". Lineage: Eukaryota; Viridiplantae; Streptophyta; Magnoliopsida; Malpighiales; Salicaceae. The record is from RNAcentral.
GUCCAAAACAUACAGCAUAUAUCAGAUGAUAGGGAAUUUAUUGGAGAUGAAGUUGAGAGGAUCACAGAGAACUGGAACGUCCAAAGGCAAGUGUUUUAUCAGCAAACAGGACUGAAUCAACGUCAUGCUCAGCAAACACAAAAAACAUGUACAACACGAUGAUGAUUUUGGUGAUGAAUUUAGUCAUCAACUGGAACUGCAACUAAUUGAAGAAGAACAGCUACAACAAAAACAAGAGGAUCAUGAAUUGGAGCUGUAACUUUCUGUAAAACAACCCUAAUAAUGUAGCAACAAAAUGGUGAGGAAUUAUGCUACAAAAACCAGGACAAAUAAGAAUCCC